This 95-nucleotide transfer RNA is filed under the name Penicillium subrubescens. It matches the Rfam family "tRNA". From Rfam's summary of the family: Transfer RNA (tRNA) molecules are approximately 80 nucleotides in length. Their secondary structure includes four short double-helical elements and three loops (D, anti-codon, and T loops). The record is from Rfam by way of RNAcentral. Lineage: Eukaryota; Fungi; Ascomycota; Eurotiomycetes; Eurotiales; Aspergillaceae.
GCCUGCGUGGCCAAGUAGUAAGGCGCUCCACUCGUAUUGUAAUUACCAAAUUACAAGUCAUGGAGAGACCGUCGGUGCAACUCCGGCCGUGGGCA